UAUUAUUUUGAAUGGGCGCAG
This 21-nucleotide non-coding RNA is filed under the name Caenorhabditis elegans. The record is from RNAcentral. Lineage: Eukaryota; Metazoa; Nematoda; Chromadorea; Rhabditida; Rhabditidae.